GAUGACCGCAAGGGGAGCAUUAAAGCUGAGAGUGAACGGUUUCGUUCUGACCCUUUGAACCUGUUAGUUAACGCUGGCGUAGGGAUGUGGCAAAGCCAAAUG
Non-coding RNA from Bacillus atrophaeus 1942, 102 nucleotides. NCBI's taxonomy places the organism in Bacteria, Bacillati, Bacillota, Bacilli, Caryophanales, Bacillaceae. The record is from Rfam.